ACCUUCCUGCCGCACUGCGGGAUGAAUGGUAAUUGGAAAUCUGAGCUCACAGUGACGUGGCCCUCAGGAGACCCAGAGCCAAUGAGUGGAUUAGUCUCUCCUUCUAGUUGCGGUCUGGUAGUCGUCGGUGGCAGUGGGACAGCUCGCUGUUGCUCUGAAGGCAGGCGAACAAGCUGCCCGGGAAAGGAGGAAAGUGGUAGAAGCCGACUCCAGAGGAGCCCUAGCAGGUCUUUAGUACGUUUGUGCAGCAGAUUUCAAGACUAAGAGAGAAAGACUGCCUCAUCCCUGCAGGAAGAAAAAAAACAGGAAGAAAAAAAAAAACUCAACAUGGAAAAUGUCCCCAAGGAAAACAAAGUUGUGGAGAAGGCCCCAGUGCAGAAUGAAGCUCCCACUUUAGGAGGUGGUGAAGACCAGGAGCCUGAAGGAAAUAUUAGAGGGGUUCAGGCUCCACGUGCCCAGGAUUUUGGAGGGGAUGCGCCCAAUAGGCUUGUUGAUAACAUUGAUAUGAUAGAUGGAGAUGCAGAUGAUAUGGAACGGUUCAUGGAGGAGAUGAGAGAGCUAAGGAGGAAAAUUAGGGAACUUCAGUUGAGGUACAGUCUGCGCAUUCUUAUAGGGGACCCCCCUCAGCAUGAUCAUCAUGAUGAGUUUUGCCUUAUGCCUUGAAUCUUGAGAUUAAUAAUCAUAAAAUCCCUGCUUUCCAAAUUCGCAUUUUUCCUGGUGUACCUUUAAUGUGAACCUUUUGGCAUUCUUCUGCCAUUUUCUGAUUAGAGAUUGCUUUUAGACCUAGUCUGUAAGUUUUUCUGUCAGAAGAGGAUUUUCAUCAACUUUCAUGGAAAGAUGUUUAUUGCACACUGUAAAGUUAAUAAAGCAAUUUAAAAGUAGUCUAUAGAUAUGUGAUUUCAUUUAAAAGCAUAUGUAUGCACACUAUAUAUAAAAUACAUAAUUUAUGUGAAAUAUUAUACAUAUGAAAACCAGAAUGUGCUUUUUCUAUGUCGUAUAGUUACUGGUACUUUUAAAUUUCUUAAUUUUUUUUUAUUGGUUAACGUUUUUUUUUCUCACUUUUUCAAAAUGAAUACAUAUGUUUUGUACGUAUCAGGAAAAAAAAAAAAAGAAGCAACAAACUUGCCAAUCAGCUUAUACAGGGAAUGGGGACAAUUAAUAAACACUUGAAACACGAUUUAAAGGCAUAUAAAUCUCAUAUUACCUGUGGAUCUCUCAUUUAGAAACACAUAUCUGAUAAUUACAGAUACAUUGCAUUAUAAAUGUCUUAGAGAGCUGCUGUGGGAAUCAAAUGAGGUAAUGACUGAGCCCUGUGUCUUGCUCUAUUUAUACAUGCAAGGCUCCAGCCCUCCAGGUGCCCUUCAUUUUUAGGGAAGAUUCCAAAGAGUGUACCAAUCAGGAGUCCAACUGAUUUAUAGAAGAUGAGACAUGAAGAGCGAAGGCAGCCAUCAGCAAGCCAAAAAGAAAUCCCUCAGGAGAAACCAAGCCUGCUGAUACCAUGAUCUUGAACUUCCAGCCUCCAGAACUGUGAAAAAUAAAUUUCUACUAUUUAAA
Cebus imitator (Panamanian white-faced capuchin) is the source of this 1554-nucleotide RNA transcript. It is a transcript of the gene named brain expressed X-linked 5, with no coding region annotated. The transcript is spliced from 4 exons. The record is from RefSeq and is a predicted model, not a curated record. Lineage: Eukaryota; Metazoa; Chordata; Mammalia; Primates; Cebidae.